GGAGAGGUGGCUGAGUGGCCGAAAGCAGCGGUCUUGAAAACCGCCGACGGGAGACCGUCCGUGGGUUCGAAUCCCACCCUCUCCG
This 85-nucleotide transfer RNA is filed under the name Alloalcanivorax dieselolei B5. RNAcentral's name for it is "Alcanivorax dieselolei B5 tRNA". It matches the Rfam family "tRNA". From Rfam's summary of the family: Transfer RNA (tRNA) molecules are approximately 80 nucleotides in length. The record is from Rfam by way of RNAcentral. Lineage: Bacteria; Pseudomonadati; Pseudomonadota; Gammaproteobacteria; Oceanospirillales; Alcanivoracaceae. RNAcentral also lists the same sequence under 1 other name.